RNAcentral lists this ribosomal RNA (1413 nucleotides) under Triticum aestivum (bread wheat). RNAcentral describes it as "partial small subunit ribosomal RNA". Lineage: Eukaryota; Viridiplantae; Streptophyta; Magnoliopsida; Poales; Poaceae. The record is from RNAcentral.
AUGAACCAAACCGGCGCGGCAAUCUCGCCUGCCGCCGGCAACACCCACCUCGGACCUCUGGGUCAUCUUCCUCCCCCGACCUACCAACCUACCUUACCUACUCACCCCCCAUCUGCUACUCUGCUUGCCCCAACCUCAAUCAUCGACACCAUCACAGAUGUAUCCCCGUUCAUCCCCAUCGUCCUCGACCUGGCGGCGCACAACUACUACCACUGGCGUCAUUUGUUCCUUGUCCACCUCGGGCGCUGCGGCCUCCGCAGCCACAUCGACGGCGACAACCUGGCGGCCUCCUCCGAUCCCGUUUGGAUCAAGGACGACUUCGCCAUUCUGCAGUGGAUUUACACGCGGAUCUCAACGGAGCUGUUCGGCCUCCUCCCCAAGGACGGCGCCACCGCCUUCGUCAUCUGGCGCGAGCUCCAGCGCCUGUUCCAGGACAACCGCGAUGCCCGCAUCAACCACCUGGAGACAGCGAUGCGCACCCUCAAGCAGAGGGACGAGCCCGUCGGCACCUACUGCCAGCGCCUCAAGGCCAUGGCGGAUGAACUGCAUGAGCUCGGCGCUCCGGUGGAUGACCGCCGGCUCAUCUCCGCCACCCUCGCCGGCAUCAGCGAGCGAUUCGACAAGGUCACCUCCGUCAUCCCUCUGCUUCGCCCCGCGCCGCCGUACUCUGAGGUGCUCUCCAUGCUUCAACUCGAGGAGACCAAACUGCGCACCAGGAUGGAGCAACCGCAGGCCUUCUACUCCAACAACGGGCCUUGCAACAGCGGCAACGCCGCCCAAGCUCCGUCCCCGCAACAGCCGGCCGUGCGCCCCACCGGCGUCAGCCCGAACUACAAGGGCAAGAACCCGGUUCCCGGUUUUCAGCACCGGAACGCAUCCAACAACGGGUCGACCUCCACGACGCCAUCGGCUCACGCCUCACCAGCACCGCCUCGUCAACCGGCAGCGACACCGACGGCACCCAUGACUCCGCCAUGGCGUGCCCACACUGAUCCCUGGACCGGCUUGGUUCAGGCCUGGCCUGUCCCAUGGACCCAGGCAACUGCCGUCGCCGCGCCUGGCCCCGUGCCCUGGCAGCUGCCGUCGCCACGACUCGUCGGCGGCCCCGGCCUGCUUGGCCGGCCUCCUGCUCAGGCAUACUACUCCUUCGCGCAGAACCAUCAACCGGCGCCUGCAACAUACCCGGCCUCGCCAUUUGCGCCUCCUGCCUAUGCGGCUGCGCCGAUGCAAGCGCCGAUGUACGCACCUCCCACGACUCCUGCGUCUCCUGCCUGGGACCAAGCGGCCUUGGUCCACGCCUUGAACGCCUAUACCAACCACAAUGAUGGAGGCUGGAUCGUCGACUCUGGAGCAACUGCGCACAUGUCUGGUACGCCUGGAUCUCAAAACCCAGGCCCUGAUCGCACGACAUGA